UACGAAGGGGGCUAGCGUUGUUCGGAAUUACUGGGCGUAAAGCGCGCGCAGGCGGUCUUCCAAGUCAGUGGUGAAAGCCCGGAGCUCAACUCCGGAACUGCCAUUGAAACUGUAAGACUUGAGGAUGAGAGAGGUGAGUGGAAUUCCCAGUGUAGAGGUGAAAUUCGUAGAUAUUGGGAAGAACACCGGUGGCGAAGGCGGCUCACUGGCUCAUAUCUGACGCUCAGGCGCGACAGCGUGGGGAGCAAACAGG
RNAcentral lists this ribosomal RNA (253 nucleotides) under uncultured bacterium. Its description in RNAcentral is "partial 16S ribosomal RNA". It matches the Rfam family "Bacterial small subunit ribosomal RNA", at positions 524 to 776 of the family's 1533-position model. The record is from RNAcentral.